Molecule: small nucleolar RNA, 41 nt
Filed under: Ursus americanus (American black bear)
Lineage: Eukaryota; Metazoa; Chordata; Mammalia; Carnivora; Ursidae
Source: RNAcentral
UCAUGACCCUGAGAUCAAGAGUUGCAUGCACUACCAACUGA